RNAcentral lists this ribosomal RNA (219 nucleotides) under Triticum aestivum (bread wheat). RNAcentral's name for it is "partial small subunit ribosomal RNA". The record is from RNAcentral. Lineage: Eukaryota; Viridiplantae; Streptophyta; Magnoliopsida; Poales; Poaceae.
AAACAUGCUCGAUACACUUGUAGGAAUGGAAAUGAAAAACACGAGAUACUUUUUCUAGAAAUAUGGACUAAUGAAAGUUUAACCCCUAAGAAAGCACUUUAUGAGGCUUCUCGUAAUUUGAUUAAUUUAUUUUUUCCUUUUCUACACGCGGAGGAAGAGGGCACUAGUUUCGAAGAAAAUAAAAACAUGAUUCUAAAAAGAGUUCGUGCAUUUUUUUAA